GGAUGCGAUCAUACCAGCACUAAAGCACCGGAUCCCAUCAGAACUCCGAGGUUAAGCAUGCUUGGGCGAGAGUAGUACUAGGAUGGGUGACCUCCUGGGAAGUCCUCGUGUUGCAUUCG
Non-coding RNA from Triticum aestivum (bread wheat), 119 nucleotides. The record is from Rfam. Lineage: Eukaryota; Viridiplantae; Streptophyta; Magnoliopsida; Poales; Poaceae.